GAUGAACGCUGGCGGCGUGCCUAAUACAUGCAAGUCGAGCGAACAGACGAGGAGCUUGCUCCUCUGACGUUAGCGGCGGACGGGUGAGUAACACGUGGAUAACCUACCUAUAAGACUGGGAUAACUUCGGGAAACCGGAGCUAAUACCGGAUAAUAUAUUGAACCGCAUGGUUCAAUAGUGAAAGACGGUUUUGCUGUCACUUAUAGAUGUAUCCGCGCCGCAUUAGCUAGUUGGUAAGGUAACGGCUUACCAAGGCAACGAUGCGUAGCCGACCUGAGAGGGUGAUCGGCGACACUGGAACUGAGACACGGUCCAGACUCCUACGGGAGGCAGCAGUAGGGAAGCGUGCGCAAUGGGCGAAAGCUUGACGGAGCAACGCCGCGUGAGUGAUGAAGGUCUUCGGAUCGUAAAACUCUGUUAUUAGGGAAGAACAAAUGUGUAAGUAACUAUGCACGUCUUGACGGUACCUAAUCAGAAAGCCACGGCUAACUACGUG
This 497-nucleotide ribosomal RNA is filed under the name uncultured bacterium. RNAcentral describes it as "partial 16S ribosomal RNA". It matches the Rfam family "Bacterial small subunit ribosomal RNA", at positions 28 to 507 of the family's 1533-position model. The record is from RNAcentral.